UGGCUCAGAGGUUAAAGCGUCUGCCUACAAUGCGGGAGACCCAGGUUCGAUCCCUGG
Molecule: transfer RNA, 57 nt
Filed under: Ovis aries (sheep)
Lineage: Eukaryota; Metazoa; Chordata; Mammalia; Artiodactyla; Bovidae
Rfam family: tRNA
About the family: Transfer RNA (tRNA) molecules are approximately 80 nucleotides in length. Their secondary structure includes four short double-helical elements and three loops (D, anti-codon, and T loops).
Source: Rfam by way of RNAcentral